GACGAACGCUGGCGGCGUGCUUAACACAUGCAAGUCGAGCGGUAAGGCCCCUUCGGGGGUACACGAGCGGCGAACGGGUGAGUAACACGUGAGCAAUCUGCCCAUCACAUCGGGAUAACUCCGGGAAACCGAAGCUAAUACCGAAUACGACCACCUCCGGCAUCGGAUGGUGGUGGAAAGUUCCGGCGGUGAUGGAUGAGCUCGCGGCCUAUCAGCUUGUUGGUGGGGUAACGGCCCACCAAGGCUUCGACGGGUAGCCGGCCUGAGAGGGUGACCGGCCACACUGGGACUGAGACACGGCCCAGACUCCUACGGGAGGAAGCAGUGGGGAAUAUUGGACAAUGGGCGAAAGCCUGAUCCAGCAACGCCGCGUGAGGGAUGACGGCCUUCGGGUUGUAAACCUCUUUCAGCAGGGACGAAGCGCAAGUGACGGUACCUGCAGAAGAAGCACCGGCCAACUACGUG
This 465-nucleotide ribosomal RNA is filed under the name uncultured bacterium. Its description in RNAcentral is "partial 16S ribosomal RNA". It matches the Rfam family "Bacterial small subunit ribosomal RNA", at positions 28 to 507 of the family's 1533-position model. The record is from RNAcentral.